AAUCAACGCUGGCGGCGUGCCUAACACAUGCAAGUCGAACGAGAAAGCUGGUAGCAAUACCGGUGAGUAAAGUGGCGACCGGGUGAGUAACACGUGGACAACCUGCCACCGAGUGGGGAAUAACCCUGGGAAACCGGGGCUAAUACCGCAUAACACUUCUGGACUUCGGUCCGGGAGUUGAAACCCGCAAGGGGCUUGGUGAGGGGUCCGCGGCCGAUUAGCUAGUUGGUGAGGUAAUGGCCCACCAAGGCGANGAUCGGUAGCCGGCCUGAGAGGGCGGACGGCCACACUGGAACUGAAACACGGUCCAGACUCCUACGGGAGGCAGCAGUGGGGAAUUUUGCGCAAUGGGGGCAACCCUGACGCAGCAACGCCGCGUGGACGAUGAAGCAUCUUGGUGUGUAAAGUCCUUUCGGCAGGGGAAGAAGUCCCGGCUUGCCGGGAUUGACGGUACCUGAAGAAGAAGCCCCGGCUAACUCCGUGCCAGCCGCCGCAGUAAG
RNAcentral lists this ribosomal RNA (500 nucleotides) under uncultured bacterium. RNAcentral describes it as "bacterial SSU rRNA". It matches the Rfam family "Bacterial small subunit ribosomal RNA", at positions 29 to 524 of the family's 1533-position model. The record is from RNAcentral.